AUUGAACGCUGGCGGCAUGCCUUACACAUGCAAGUCGAACGGACGCGCGGGGUUCUGCCUGGCGGCGAGUGGCCAACGGGCGAGUAAUGAAUCGGAACGUGCCCAGCAGUUGGGGAUAGGCUGGCGAAAGCAGGAUUAAUACAGCAUAGGAUCAGAGGUCGAAAGCGGGGGACCGAUAGGCAUAGAGCUCUUUGCGCGGCCGUUGGCGGAUUAGCUAGUUGGUGGGGUAAAGGCUUACCAAGGCGACUUUCCGAAGCAGGUCUGAGAGGACGACCAGCCACACUGGGACUGAGACACGGCCCAGACUCCUACGGGAGGCAGCAGUGGGGAAUCUUCGACAAUGGGGGCAAGCCUGAUCCAGCCACGCCGCGUGAGGGAUGAAGGCCUUCGGAUUGUAAACCUCUUUUGUUCGGGAAGAAAAACUGUGGACGAAUACCCGGGGGUCAUGACGGUACCGGAUGAAUAAGCACCGGCUAACUACGUG
RNAcentral lists this ribosomal RNA (484 nucleotides) under uncultured bacterium. RNAcentral describes it as "partial 16S ribosomal RNA". It matches the Rfam family "Bacterial small subunit ribosomal RNA", at positions 29 to 507 of the family's 1533-position model. The record is from RNAcentral.